Echinops telfairi (small Madagascar hedgehog) is the source of this 119-nucleotide small nucleolar RNA. NCBI's taxonomy places the organism in Eukaryota, Metazoa, Chordata, Mammalia, Afrosoricida, Tenrecidae. The record is from Ensembl.
ACCCUCCAGCGCCCUUCUCUCUCAGAUCGAAAUGUUGAUCGGAGCAGCUGAAAAAGGAGGAAAGUAAAACUGAAUGGACUUGGAGUCUUCAGUGACAGACACAUUUACUACAAACAUAC